CCUACGGGAGGCAGCAGUGAGGAAUAUUUGUCAAUGGACGAAAGUCUGAACCAGCCAAGUCGCGUGAAGGAUGACUGCCCUAUGGUUUGUAAACUUCUUUUAUAUGGGAAUAAAAUCUUCCUCGUGUGGCAUUUUGUAUGUACCAUAUGAAUAAGCAUCGGCUAACUCCGUGCCAGCAGCCGCGGUAAUACGGAGGCUCCGAGCGUUAUCCGGAUUUCUUGGGUUUAAAGGGAGCGUAGGUGGAUUGUUAAGUCAGUUGUGAAAGUUUGCGGCUCAACCGUAAAAGUGCAGUUGAAACUGGCAGUCUUGAGUACAGUAGAGGUGGGCGGAAUGCGUGGUGUAGCGGUGAAAUGCUUAGAUAUCACGAAGAACUCCGAUUGCGAAGGCAGCUCACUGGACUGCAACUGACACUGAGGCUCGAAAGUGUGGGUAUCAAACAGGAUUAGAUACCCGAGUAGUC
RNAcentral lists this ribosomal RNA (460 nucleotides) under uncultured bacterium. RNAcentral's name for it is "partial 16S ribosomal RNA". It matches the Rfam family "Bacterial small subunit ribosomal RNA", at positions 338 to 795 of the family's 1533-position model. The record is from RNAcentral.